UACGGGGGGAGCAAGCGUUGUUCGGAUUUACUGGGCGUAAAGGGCGCGUAGGCGGCCUGUGCAAGUCAGUUGCGAAAUCUCCGAGCUUAACUCGGAACGGUCAACUGAUACUGCUCGGCUAGAGUGCGGAAGGGGCAACUGGAAUUCUUGGUGUAGCGGUGAAAUGCGUAGAUAUCAAGAGGAACACCUGCGGCGAAGGCGGGUUGCUGGGCCGACACUGACGCUGAGGCGCGAAAGCUAGGGGAGCGAACGGG
Molecule: ribosomal RNA, 254 nt
Filed under: uncultured bacterium
Lineage: Bacteria
Description: partial 16S ribosomal RNA
Rfam family: Bacterial small subunit ribosomal RNA
Source: RNAcentral